GGGUCGAGACUUGUUUAAUGAUUGACAGCGAUACUUAAGAAAAACUUGAAGAUUAUUUUUACAGAUUUGAGGAAAUUGAAAUAUUUUUGUUUUUCGCUGAUUUUGAUAGAAAACAAAAAUUCAAGCUGUACAAAAGUUUUUUCAUUCAUUAUUUUUGUAGUACACUGAACUUUAGCAAAUUGCAAGGUUCUAAUGUUAGAAGAGUAACUGGAGUUACUCUAGAUGUUUUGUGAGCUUAUCGGCAUUUAGCUUAAAGGUUUUAAGCGACAGGAUAAGCUACUGACACUGAAAACUGGAAAAGUUCAGGUUUGGGUGUUGAGUACUGGUACCUGAGUGUGGUACCGGAACCGCUGAGAGUG
RNAcentral lists this long non-coding RNA (359 nucleotides) under Ananas comosus (pineapple). RNAcentral describes it as "long non-coding RNA (ACOM_LNC017653)". Lineage: Eukaryota; Viridiplantae; Streptophyta; Magnoliopsida; Poales; Bromeliaceae. The record is from RNAcentral.